CAAGUCGAACGAAUCCCCACGGGCUUGCUCGUGGGGGGAAGUGGCGAAAGGGUCAGUAAGGCGUGGGUAACCUACCCCGGGGAUCGGGAUAGCCUUCCUAACGGAUGGGUAAUACCGAGCGAUCUGACGAGGAGACAUCUCUUUGUCAGGAAAUGAAUUUCGCCUCGGGAGGGGCUCACGUGCUAUUACCUAGUUGGCGAGGCAACGGCUCACCAAGGGAAAGAUGGCUAGCGGGUGUGAGAGCACGACCCGCGCCACUGGCACUGCGACACUGGCCAGACUCCUACGGGAGGCUGCAGACGAGGAUCUUCGGCAAUGGGCGCAAGCCUGACCGAGCGACGCCGCGUGCGCGAUGAAGGCCUUCGGGUUGUAAAGCGCUGUCGAGGGGGAGGAAGCUCCGCAAGGGGUUGACCUAUCCCUGGAGGAAGCACGGGCUAAGUUCGUGCCAGCAGCCGCGGUAAGACGAACCGUGCGAACGUUGUUCGGAAUCACUGGGCUUAAAGGGCGCGUAGGCGGACUGCCAAGUCCGGGGUGAAAUCGUUCGGCCCAACCGGACAAUGGCCCUGGAUACUGGCGGUCUGGAGGGGGGUAGGGGCAGCUGGAACUUCCGGUGGAGCGGUGAAAUGCGUUGAUAUCGGAAGGAACGCCGGUGGCGAAAGCGAGCUGCUGGACCUUUUCUGACGCUGAGGCGCGAAAGCCAGGGGAGCAAACGGGAUUAGAUACCCCGGUAGUCCUGGCCCUAAACGAUGGGUACUGGGUAGUGGACUAGACAUGGGUUCCCUGCCGAAGCCAAAGUGCUAAGUACCCCGCCUGGGGAGUAUGGUCGCAAGG
RNAcentral lists this ribosomal RNA (831 nucleotides) under uncultured Planctomycetota bacterium. RNAcentral's name for it is "bacterial SSU rRNA". It matches the Rfam family "Bacterial small subunit ribosomal RNA", at positions 58 to 893 of the family's 1533-position model. The record is from RNAcentral. Lineage: Bacteria; Pseudomonadati; Planctomycetota.